Molecule: ribosomal RNA, 124 nt
Filed under: Lepisosteus oculatus (spotted gar)
Lineage: Eukaryota; Metazoa; Chordata; Actinopteri; Semionotiformes; Lepisosteidae
Source: RNAcentral
UAUAGGAGCCAUAUCACUCUGCAACUUACAGUACAACUGGCAACCCACUGAAGCUAAGCAGGUAUGAGCCUGGCCAGUACCUGGAUAGGAGACCUCCUGGGUAAAACUAAGGUUGCUGCUGGAA